This 155-nucleotide ribosomal RNA is filed under the name uncultured Bacteroides sp. Its description in RNAcentral is "partial 16S ribosomal RNA". It matches the Rfam family "Bacterial small subunit ribosomal RNA", at positions 355 to 507 of the family's 1533-position model. Lineage: Bacteria; Pseudomonadati; Bacteroidota; Bacteroidia; Bacteroidales; Bacteroidaceae. The record is from RNAcentral.
UGAGGAAUAUUGGUCAAUGGGCGAGAGCCUGAACCAGCCAAGUAGCGUGAAGGAAGAAGGUUCUAUGGAUUGUAAACUUCUUUUAUAAGGGAAUAACGGACACUACGUGUAGUGUUUUGCAUGUACCUUAUGAAUAAGCAUCGGCUAACUCCGUG